This is a non-coding RNA of Chelonoidis abingdonii (Abingdon island giant tortoise), 2634 nucleotides long. NCBI's taxonomy places the organism in Eukaryota, Metazoa, Chordata, Testudines, Testudinidae. The record is from RefSeq and is a predicted model, not a curated record.
AGUGGAGCAGUGAUCUGUAAUAGAACUGGCAAGCUGGGACAUAUGGCUCUUUGGAAGCAGAAAAUCUGUGACUACUGUAAGCAACCAGUGGACCAGGGACUGAACACUCCAGAGCAGAAAGUCUUUGAAAAGUCACCAGUAAAUACAGCUGAAGAGGUAUUUCCAAGUUUAAUCAUCUGCUAACAGCCUUCCCUGCCAUCUCCUUCUGCGGAAGCACACAGGCCCCUGAACUCUAGCACGGUUGGUCAUGUGAAAAGCCUCUGAUUACAGUGACAGAUCACCACAUUUCAAAAGGAGAUGCCAUGAUCACCACCAGGAAGACCAAAGUCCCCUGUUUAUCCAAAAACAUCUAUGUGUGAUGGAAUUGGAGCUUCUCUGUAAUAAUGUAUGAAUGUUGUGUGUUGACUUGGUUAUUGGGAUGUCUGCUGCAUUAAUUUAUUUUUAGUGUAAUGGGGGGCACAAACAAGAAGGAAGGGAAGAAGAAUGGCUCAGGAUAAGUCACUUUUCAACAAACACUGAAGGGGUGUUAAGAGAACUGGUCUUGACAGCAGGGCCAAGGCCUGGGAGCUGGAAGAUCAGAAGAACUCUAGCAGUUUAAAAAGGGACCCCGUCUCAAAAGGAAAGGGUCUGCUCAGGGAAUUGGUUUUUUUUGUGGUGGGGGAGGACUGUACCCAAAGACACCCUUUGGGUGUCUGGAGAAGGUAGGCCUGCAUAGGUUAGCAUCAGAGCAUGAUAACGCUUCAGGUAAGAUAGGCAUGCUUGUAGAUGGUUGGUUGUUUUAAAAUCCUCUCUCUCUAAAUGCUUUGGUCCUCCUGUUCAAAUAAAUGAUGCUUUUGUUUAAGAAGGCUGUAUGUCACUGGUCACAGACUCCCAAAGGGAAGAACUAUGGGUGCGUGAACACAGCUAGGUAAGAAAGGUAGAUAUACAGCGUGCUGUAGCUCAGAACUCUGUCUAAGAGUGGAAGAAUUGUGGAAUUCCACCCAAGGAGAGGUAAAGGCACAAGGCAUAUUACCUGAGCGGCACACUCAGAGAGACCACAAAGGGGACAGAGGUGCAGCUAGUCCUGCAACUGUGACACACUGCACCACAGACAACAAAAGUGUAAGCUUUCCCACACCACUUUGGGAACAUUCCUCAAACUUGACCUGGAAGGAUCUUAUCUAAGGCUCAAAGGGUAGUUUAUUGGUCAAGCCCAUCCAAUUCUUGACCUCUCUGCUGAGAAUGCAAACAGAACUGUCACUUGUUAUAGAUUCAUGGUGUCAAUAACUGGGACCAUGGCCAACAAGACAUGUAACACAGAUUGUGGCUCCACUGGAGUCAAUGGCACAAUUCCCACUGGCCAGGUCAGCUGAUUUAGUCUUAUGGGGCUCAGGCUGCAGGGCUAUAAAAUUGCAGUGUAGAUGUCCAGGCCUGAGCUGGAGCCCAGGCUCUGGGACCCCUAAGGGGUAAACACAGCUUCAAGCCUAAUCCCCCUUCUAUCAACACACAAAGUGCGCUAACUCAGGGCUUGGACCCAGCCCAGAUCCCACAGAGUCUGAAUCAAACCAGUAUCCAGAGUUCAAUCCCUAUUGCUUUGCAGUGUGGGCACUGCCCCACUGGACUAGUGCGCUGGAAGUCCAUCAAAAGUAUUCCCCAAUCUCAAAAGCUGACUUUCUUUGUCCUCUAGACAGUCAUGUUUGGUGGACAGUCAAGUUCUCUUACAUGGCACCGUGAACUAAAGAAUAGAGCAGCCACAUUUUGGGAAGCACUAGGAAGUCUGGGAUAUGGGUGGUUAGACUCAAGCCCACAUAAUGCAGUGUAGGCAUUGGAGCCCCAAACUGGAACCCAGGAUUCAAUAAUUCCUAACCUAGAGUUAUAAAUGAGUGUAGAUGCUCAAAUCCUAGGCUAGCAAACCCAGGAUCUGCUAACUCAUUUUCUACAAACCCUGGGCUUACAUUGCAGUGUAGACAUGCUCUAAUUAAUGUGAGCUGGGUUUGAACUCCCAGCCUACCACUGAAACACUCAAUACCCAGAAAUCACUGGAUUUUACUUGCAUGUACUGCUCUUUUUAAAAUGCUGCUGAGAUAUAUAUAUAUUCCCACUAAUUCUGUAACUGCGUAAGCAAUGAAAGCUAUUGAAAGAGAGGAUCAUGUUACCCAAGUAUACAUCAUGCUUCAAGAGUGCAUAAAUAUAAGCCUAUAUAUUUCAACAUAUUUUAAUAUCAGGGUUUUUUAGUUGACAUUUUCCAGAGACAUCUGAAACAGGAUACAGUUAGAUUAAUAAAAGACCUACUUUUCCCUUCAUCCUAGUUGGCAAGUGAGCUCCAAUCCAGAAGUUCCUUACUCAACAAUACUCUUUUUAUGGCUGAAAUAGCACUGUUUACACUGUUGUCACAGUGUUAGAGGAUUCUGUCAUCACAAAUCUGCUUCAAGCCUGCAACACAGGAAAUGCACUUUCCUGAAGACGGGAAAGAUUUUCUUCUGUCAGUUGGAAUAAACUGGUAACUAGAGUAUAAAUAACUGAUUAUUUUUGUACAUUUGACAGUCUAUUUUUCCCUUCUCCUUUGGCCUCCUGCAUGUUGUCCUGAGCAGGACGAAAUGCCUUCUGAAGCUAGUUUUCACAAGGAGACAUUGUUUACUGCUGUGGAUUAGUGAG